UUGCCGUUCAUUUGUCUGGUGGUUGAGUUCGUCAGUCAUUGAAACAGUUGAGUCCUAAUUUUUGUAGUCGUACUACAAAGGAUUUUUCUCUGAUGCGAGAACUUACUUUAGUUUUCUGCAUGAAAUACAUUAUAGAUUCGUCCGCUGCAAGAUUAUGGUGCCCGAGUGUGGCCGACAGGAAAGGGAACUCGAUCGGUGCGGUGCCGGAGCUCCUCGCGUGGGGCACAGGUGCCGAUGUCAGUGCUGUGUGCCGGGGGUGGCAGGGUAGAGGCACACGGUGUGACACUGGCUGCCAGAAACCCUGCUGUCACAGCUGUGCUGGUGUGGCACGACACAGCAGAAACUGCCAGCGACUGUGUCCACAUACUGGACAUAGAGACCACCGCUGUGGACCACCUUGUCCGUUACGUGUCUGUGGUACAACUAUUGGCAGCUGCAGACAAAUAUAACCUCCAUCUCCUUAAGGAGCCUCAUAAAGACAGGUUGGUACAGGAACUGACACUGGAGAAUGUGGUGGAGUGUGCAGCAUUGCUGCUCGUGCCUGCCGGACGCUGCCGUCGAGCUGCUGGUGGGACGGAACGGAGUCAAGUUUUGAGAGAAGUUAAGAUUGAAACAAACCUUCAGUUUGAUAAAGAAAUUGAACAGCAUAAUCCUGGCACAUUGGAUCAGCGGACACAGCUGUCGGUUAAAAAUUUACAGCGAUCGGCAGAAAUUUUAUUUCCACCUGAUUUUGUCUGAGCUUACGAGAACUUACUCAAACAAUGAAAAAUCCACGAUGAAAUGUAACAGUAUUACGAAAAGGAAAGUUGUUACUCACCAUAUAGCAGAGAUGCUGAGUCGCAGAGAGGCACAACAAAAAAAGAACUGUCACAAAGCUUUCGGCCAGUAAGGCCUUUGUCAAAAAACAC
Molecule: long non-coding RNA, 908 nt
Organism: Schistocerca cancellata (South American locust)
Lineage: Eukaryota; Metazoa; Arthropoda; Insecta; Orthoptera; Acrididae
Exons: 3
Source: RefSeq, a predicted model, not a curated record